This 466-nucleotide ribosomal RNA is filed under the name uncultured bacterium. Its description in RNAcentral is "bacterial SSU rRNA". It matches the Rfam family "Bacterial small subunit ribosomal RNA", at positions 28 to 507 of the family's 1533-position model. The record is from RNAcentral.
GACGAACGCUGGCGGCGUGCUUAAAACAUGCAAGUCGAACGGACUUCUCAUGAAGCUUGCGAUUGAGAAGUUAGUGGCGGACGGGUGAGUAACGCGUGGGCAACCUGCCCCUGAGCCCGGGAUAACAGUUCGAAAGGACUGCUAAGACCGGAUAUACUUGCGGGGAAGCAUUUCACUGCAAGGAAAGGGAACGCUCAGGGAUGGGCCCGCGUCCCAUUAGCUAGUUGGUGAGGUAACGGCCCACCAAGGCGACGAUGGGUAGCCGGCCUGAGAGGGUGAACGGCCACACUGGGACUGAGACACGGCCCAGACUCCUACGGGAGGCAGCAGUUGGGAAUCUUCGGCAAUGGGCGCAAGCCUGACCCAGCAACGCCGCGUGAGGGAAGAAGGUUUUCGGAUUGUAAACCUCUGUUCUUGGUGACGAAAAAGUGACGGUAGCCAAGGAGAAAGCCCCGGUAACUACGUG